CACUGUGGCCCACACUAGAUAGUGCUGUGAAAUUCCCGCGCAUGCCCAAUAAAACAUGUGGGCAUUUGCUACGGGAAUUUCGUCCAUUCAUUCGUCAGAAAGAUGAAGGAAAGAAUAGAAAUUUUAGACAAACACCGAAUAUAGGGAGUUAUCUACUAAGCGGCUGCAAGAUGCAGCACGGAUCGGAUCGGGGUCCUGCCCUACUUCUUCAGAGACUGGAUGAGUUAUAG
Molecule: non-coding RNA, 230 nt
Organism: Pelobates cultripes (western spadefoot toad)
Lineage: Eukaryota; Metazoa; Chordata; Amphibia; Anura; Pelobatidae
Source: the annotation of a GenBank genome assembly